Exaiptasia diaphana is the source of this 947-nucleotide long non-coding RNA. RefSeq lists it as uncharacterized. The record is from RefSeq and is a predicted model, not a curated record. The transcript is spliced from 2 exons. Lineage: Eukaryota; Metazoa; Cnidaria; Anthozoa; Actiniaria; Aiptasiidae.
GAAGACAGAGACACAAGCGGCCGUUUUMUAUUUCUUUUAYAAAAUUUUUCGASCGAAAAGAAAAUUUUGCCGGUAAGCCGUGUCUCUGUCCUCUGAUAUAAACACGUUCGUCAGCCAAUCAGAGCGCGCGUUAUAUAUCAAAAAUUUUAUAAAGGUAAUUAUAUGAUAAAUGUUAAUAUUGCACAACAUAUGGUGACAGCUGACUCAAAAGGAAAUACUCCAGUUUCGAAUUCUCGUAAUAAUAAUAUUUGUGCAAGCUUACCUUCAAUCAAGCAUUAAUUUUUAUUGUCUCAUUUGAAAUUAUCCAAAUUUUCAAAUCAUUUAGAUUUGGAUAGCAUGUUAUUGGACCAAAGUGUGCGAGUGUGUAUUACAGUAACUUCUGUGUGCUUAAUGGCACUAUAAUUUAAAAAUAGGAUAAAAAAUAUUAUUUUGUGAAAUGCUUGGACCAUAUGAUAUCUGAGGUUGAUUGGUAAAAACAAAACAUGUUAAGGAAACAACAGAUGAAGUACAGCUUCGCGAACAAUGAGAAUUUUGCAUCUGAUUCAUGAGAUCGUCCAAGACAUCAGCACUACAGCACUGCUAACCCUUAUUGACUUAUUUAGAAAACAAAUGUAAACUAGACGCUCAGAGAGCGCUUACAUGGGCUUCCUGAAGCAAUUUCCAAUUGAGAUGCAUUUUCAUGGAGAAAAUAAAGUCUGGAGCCUAUCUAUUUUCAUCAAUAUUUGAUUUAUUACUUUUCCAUACAACCAUUAAUGRAGGUUUGUUUUCUAGCAAUGUUAUUUUUUAUUUGAGUAUUAAAAAUCUGUGUUUCAGGAACAAUUCAGAUUUAGAGAAGUUGCAUUGCGAGUCACUUCUUUCAAUUGCAAUGUAAAUGUAUUUGUUGUCCUAUAAAUAUUGCAGGUUGUAAUGAUCAAAUAAAAAAUAGAAUAAAGGGAUUUUGCAAAACA